GGAUUGGAGUCUGCAACUCGACUCCAUGAAGUCGGAAUCGCUAGUAAUCGUGGAUCAGAAUGCCACGGUGAAUACGUUCCCGGGCCUUGUACACACCGCCCGUCACACCAUGGGAGUGGGUUGCAAAAGAAGUAGGUAGCUUAACCUUCGGGAGGGCGCUUACCACUUUGUGAUUCAUGACUGGGGUGAAGUCGUAACAAGGUAACCGUAGGGGAACCUGCGGUUGGAUCACCUCCUUACCUGAAAGAA
Molecule: ribosomal RNA, 249 nt
Filed under: Salmonella enterica subsp. enterica serovar Oranienburg
Lineage: Bacteria; Pseudomonadati; Pseudomonadota; Gammaproteobacteria; Enterobacterales; Enterobacteriaceae
Description: partial 16S ribosomal RNA
Rfam family: Bacterial small subunit ribosomal RNA
Source: RNAcentral